UACGUAGGGACCGAGCGUUGUCCGGAAUCAUUGGGCGUAAAGAGCGUGUAGGCGGCCACUUAAGUCCUGCGUGAAAUCUUGCGGCUCAACCGCAAGCGGUCGUGGGAAACUGGGUGGCUAGAGUGCGGGAGAGGAGAGUGGAAUUCCCAGUGUAGAGGUGAAAUUCGUAGAUAUUGGGAAGAACACCGGUGGCGAAGGCGGCGACCUGGUCCUUGACUGACGCUGAGGCGCGAAAGCGUGGGGAGCAAACAGG
Molecule: ribosomal RNA, 253 nt
Filed under: uncultured bacterium
Lineage: Bacteria
Description: partial 16S ribosomal RNA
Rfam family: Bacterial small subunit ribosomal RNA
Source: RNAcentral